This 69-nucleotide transfer RNA is filed under the name Hypothenemus sp. BMNH 1040235. RNAcentral's name for it is "tRNA-Gln". It matches the Rfam family "tRNA". Rfam says of the family: Transfer RNA (tRNA) molecules are approximately 80 nucleotides in length. The record is from RNAcentral. Lineage: Eukaryota; Metazoa; Arthropoda; Insecta; Coleoptera; Curculionidae.
UGUAUUUUAGUAUAAGAUGUAUAAAAGUUUUUGAUACUUUAGGUAAAAGUUUAAUUCUUUUAAAUGCAA